CAUAGGGUAAACAUUCCAGGUAUCAUGGAGAUUGAGGAGUGGGGAAAACAUUCCCACGGUUGAGAAUUUUAAUAUAACAGUUAUAAUAAUUAUGGUAUUUGUGCUACCAUUUAUUGAAUUCCUCUAUGUUAGGCACCUCAUUUCCUCCUCACAACCACUCUGCCAGGCAGAUAUUGUUAUCACCAUUUAACAAGGAAAAGGAUGAGAUUCAGAGAGGCACAGUAACCACGCUUUCAGCUGCGAGGUACAGAACACUCAGCCACAAGUGGCUGAGACGGAAGCUUCCUGACACUAACAGGGAAAAGAAACAGUGGCCAGAGACUGUCUCCUGAAAAAUGUGCAGGAAGGGUAAUUCGGAGGCCAAGACAAAUGUGUGGGAUGAGCUCCAGCCGGGCCUCAAAACAGAAGCUGAUGACACUCACAGGCUUCUGGGGCUCCUAGGAGGCCUUGUCACAUUCCACAUUUUUUCUGCAAGAGCUCAAAAGUUGCCUUCUCUGGAAGCUUCCGUGACUUCAGCAGAUGUAAGUUGCCUCUGCUUUACCCUUACUACACUUUUUAUGUAUACCCCCAAACACACACAACACACUCACACUCACACAUUAAAGGAAUUAUCUUACUAAAUUGAGAUUUAGAGAAAUAGCUGUCAGUGGUUAAGCCCCUAAUCUGUAACAUACAUGAUAUCUACAUUAGUUUAUUUACUGUUCCAACAGCUCUGAGAGGUAAGAUCUUUUUGUCCUCAUUUAUAGGUAUGGAAACUGAGGCUUAAACAGAUUUUGAUUUGUCCCAGCCUAGUUCUUUCUUUUUUAUUCUCAAUCAAUGUUAUAUCAUUUUGUCAAUCACUAUUUUCAUCUAAGUGUAUGUGAAAAGUUAUCAGUAGAAAACUGAGAAGCAAGCACAAAUCUAACUAAGAAGGAACAUUGCCACUAUUAGAUGAAGGGUCCCUGAAAAAGAUGCGCUGAAGAGAGUGUCUGAGUCAUAGUCUGAAUUUAGCUUGCUUGGGAGUUUUACAAGACCGCUUCUGGGCAAGGCCAUGACAGAGUCUUAGGAAGCAUAGGGCUUACAGCUGGCAAGCCUGUAGUGUGGGCCCAGUGCUGGUUAACCAGUAGGAACAUGGUCAGUAGGAAGAGACUGCUCUGUAUUUUCUACUUCAAAGCUUACCUUCAGAUCUCAGGAAUGGGCAAAUCACAAUACCUCUUAGGGGGCAGGGAGUAUCCUCAGCUGAUCCUGGCUGUAGGGUGUAGAGAGGAGGGAGAAACUUCAUUAGCACAGGAUCAGUGCUGGCCAAGGACAGAUAAGAAUCUGAGCCAGGCUUGCCUGGGAACUUUUUCCUCCAGGUAAAGACAUUAUGAUGACUGUAGAUAGCUUGGUGAUAACAGUCCUCACUGUGUCUGUCUCUGAAAUCGUACUACUUCCAUUUGAACUCAUUGCUCUCCACGUCAUAUGCACAUCCUCUUUGAGAUUCCCUUGACCUCUCUGUCUCCUGCGUUGGAUUCUCUGUUUCUGUAUCCCAGGUUUUCCCCUUUCUUGGUUCACUCUGUCAUUUUGGUGGAGCACAUCUUCAGUAGCCUCUUGGAUGCAUGGGAGCAUGGAGCCUGCCAGCCUGCUUCUACCUGGAUCCUAUUUGCCACCUUGGAACAGAAGCUGUCUUGUCAAUGUGUGCAAUGAUUACAUUGGGGGAAGAUGGAGAAGCACAGAACAUUUAUCAACAUAUACCAUAUGUUGGGCUAUAAAACAAGUCUUUUUUUUUGAGGAAGAUUAGCCCUGAGCUAACAUCUGCCACCAAUCCUCCUCUUUUUGCUGAGGAAGACUGGCCCUGAGCUAACACCUGUGCCCAUCUUCCUCUAUGCUAUGUCGGAUGCCUACCACAGCAUGACUUGACAAACAGUGCAUAGGUCUGCACCUGGGAUCCGAACCAGCUAACCCCAGGCCACCAAAGUGGGAAGUGUGCACUUAACCACUGUGCCACCGGGCC
Molecule: long non-coding RNA, 1972 nt
Organism: Equus caballus (horse)
Lineage: Eukaryota; Metazoa; Chordata; Mammalia; Perissodactyla; Equidae
Source: Ensembl